GCCUGGGUGGCUCAGUCGGUUAAGCAUCUGACUUCAGCUCACAUCAUGAUCUCACGGUUUGUGGGUUUGAGCCCCACAUCAGGUU
Felis catus (domestic cat) is the source of this 85-nucleotide transfer RNA. It matches the Rfam family "tRNA". Rfam says of the family: Transfer RNA (tRNA) molecules are approximately 80 nucleotides in length. Their secondary structure includes four short double-helical elements and three loops (D, anti-codon, and T loops). Further hydrogen bonds mediate the characteristic L-shaped molecular structure. tRNAs have two regions of fundamental functional importance: the anti-codon, which is responsible for specific mRNA codon recognition, and the 3' end, to which the tRNAs corresponding amino acid is attached (by aminoacyl-tRNA synthetases). tRNAs cope with the degeneracy of the genetic code in two manners: having more than one tRNA (with a specific anti-codon) for a particular amino acid; and 'wobble' base-pairing, i.e. permitting non-standard base-pairing at the 3rd anti-codon position. Lineage: Eukaryota; Metazoa; Chordata; Mammalia; Carnivora; Felidae. The record is from Rfam.